Molecule: ribosomal RNA, 1556 nt
Filed under: Salmonella enterica subsp. enterica serovar Saintpaul str. SARA26
Lineage: Bacteria; Pseudomonadati; Pseudomonadota; Gammaproteobacteria; Enterobacterales; Enterobacteriaceae
Description: bacterial SSU rRNA
Rfam family: Bacterial small subunit ribosomal RNA
Source: RNAcentral
UUAAAUUGAAGAGUUUGAUCAUGGCUCAGAUUGAACGCUGGCGGCAGGCCUAACACAUGCAAGUCGAACGGUAACAGGAAGCAGCUUGCUGCUUCGCUGACGAGUGGCGGACGGGUGAGUAAUGUCUGGGAAACUGCCUGAUGGAGGGGGAUAACUACUGGAAACGGUGGCUAAUACCGCAUAACGUCGCAAGACCAAAGAGGGGGACCUUCGGGCCUCUUGCCAUCAGAUGUGCCCAGAUGGGAUUAGCUUGUUGGUGAGGUAACGGCUCACCAAGGCGACGAUCCCUAGCUGGUCUGAGAGGAUGACCAGCCACACUGGAACUGAGACACGGUCCAGACUCCUACGGGAGGCAGCAGUGGGGAAUAUUGCACAAUGGGCGCAAGCCUGAUGCAGCCAUGCCGCGUGUAUGAAGAAGGCCUUCGGGUUGUAAAGUACUUUCAGCGGGGAGGAAGGUGUUGUGGUUAAUAACCGCAGCAAUUGACGUUACCCGCAGAAGAAGCACCGGCUAACUCCGUGCCAGCAGCCGCGGUAAUACGGAGGGUGCAAGCGUUAAUCGGAAUUACUGGGCGUAAAGCGCACGCAGGCGGUCUGUCAAGUCGGAUGUGAAAUCCCCGGGCUCAACCUGGGAACUGCAUUCGAAACUGGCAGGCUUGAGUCUUGUAGAGGGGGGUAGAAUUCCAGGUGUAGCGGUGAAAUGCGUAGAGAUCUGGAGGAAUACCGGUGGCGAAGGCGGCCCCCUGGACAAAGACUGACGCUCAGGUGCGAAAGCGUGGGGAGCAAACAGGAUUAGAUACCCUGGUAGUCCACGCCGUAAACGAUGUCUACUUGGAGGUUGUGCCCUUGAGGCGUGGCUUCCGGAGCUAACGCGUUAAGUAGACCGCCUGGGGAGUACGGCCGCAAGGUUAAAACUCAAAUGAAUUGACGGGGGCCCGCACAAGCGGUGGAGCAUGUGGUUUAAUUCGAUGCAACGCGAAGAACCUUACCUGGUCUUGACAUCCACAGAACUUUCCAGAGAUGGACUGGUGCCUUCGGGAACUGUGAGACAGGUGCUGCAUGGCUGUCGUCAGCUCGUGUUGUGAAAUGUUGGGUUAAGUCCCGCAACGAGCGCAACCCUUAUCCUUUGUUGCCAGCGGUCCGGCCGGGAACUCAAAGGAGACUGCCAGUGAUAAACUGGAGGAAGGUGGGGAUGACGUCAAGUCAUCAUGGCCCUUACGACCAGGGCUACACACGUGCUACAAUGGCGCAUACAAAGAGAAGCGACCUCGCGAGAGCAAGCGGACCUCAUAAAGUGCGUCGUAGUCCGGAUUGGAGUCUGCAACUCGACUCCAUGAAGUCGGAAUCGCUAGUAAUCGUGGAUCAGAAUGCCACGGUGAAUACGUUCCCGGGCCUUGUACACACCGCCCGUCACACCAUGGGAGUGGGUUGCAAAAGAAGUAGGUAGCUUAACCUUCGGGAGGGCGCUUACCACUUUGUGAUUCAUGACUGGGGUGAAGUCGUAACAAGGUAACCGUAGGGGAACCUGCGGUUGGAUCACCUCCUUACCUGAAAGAAGC